GAGUCCGCGUUUCAUUAGCUAGACGGUGGGGUAACGGCCUACCGUGGCAACGAUGAAUAGCAGGCCUGAGAGGGUGGCCUGCCAUACUGGGACUGGAACACGGCCCAGACUCCUACGGGAGGCAGCAGUGGGGAAUAUUGCGCAAUGGACGAAAGUCUGACGCAGCGACGCCGCGUGGAGGAUGAAGGUUUUCGGAUCGUAAACUCCUGUCAAGAGGGAAGAAACCUGUUAGAAUUAAUACUUCUAGCAAUUGACGGUACCUCCAGAGGAAGCACCGGCUAAUUCAGUGCCAGCAGCCGCGGUAAUACUGAAGGUGCAAGCGUUAAUCGGAAUCACUGGGCGUAAAGCGCUCGUAGGUGGCUUUGUAAGUCAUGUGUGAAGGCCCACGGCUCAACCGUGGAAUUGCACUUGAUACUGCAUCGCUAGAGUAUAGGAGAGGGAAGUGGAAUUUCUGGUGUAGGAGUGAAAUCCGUAGAGAUCAGAAGGAACACCCGUGGCGAAGGCGACUUCCUGGACUAUUACUGACACUGAGGAGCGAAAGCGUGGGGAGCAAACAGGAUUAGAUACCCUGGUAGUCCACGCCGUAAACGAUGGAUACUAGGUGUCGGGC
RNAcentral lists this ribosomal RNA (610 nucleotides) under uncultured bacterium. RNAcentral's name for it is "bacterial SSU rRNA". It matches the Rfam family "Bacterial small subunit ribosomal RNA", at positions 227 to 828 of the family's 1533-position model. The record is from RNAcentral.